CGGACGGGUGAGUAACACGUGGGCGAUCUGGCUGUAGGACAGGGAUAACCCCGGGAAACCGGAGCUAAUACCGGAUAGAGGUAAAGAUCGCAUGAUUUUUACCGGAAAGAUGGCGCAAGCUAUCACCUGCAGAUGAGCCCGCGGCGCAUUAGCUAGUUGGUGGGGUAACGGCCUACCAAGGCGACGAUGCGUAGCCGACCUGAGACGGUGAUCGGCCACACUGGGACUGAAACUCGGCCCAGACUCCUACGGGAGGCAGCAGUAGGGAAUCUUCCGCAAUGGACGAAAGUCUGACGGAGCAUCGCCGCGUGAGUGAUGAAGGUUUUCGGAUUGUAAAACUCUGUCAUUAGGGAAGAACGGCUGAUGU
Molecule: ribosomal RNA, 367 nt
Filed under: uncultured bacterium
Lineage: Bacteria
Description: bacterial SSU rRNA
Rfam family: Bacterial small subunit ribosomal RNA
Source: RNAcentral